GACGAACGCUGGCGGCGUGCUUAACACAUGCAAGUCGAACGGAAAGGCCCUGCUUUUGUGGGGUGCUCGAGUGGCGAACGGGUGAGUAACACGUGAGUAACCUGCCCUUGACUUUGGGAUAACUUCAGGAAACUGGGGCUAAUACCGGAUAGGAGCUCCUGCUGCAUGGUGGGGGUUGGAAAGUUUCGGCGGUUGGGGAUGGGUUCGCGGCUUAUCAGCUUGUUGGUGGGGUAGUGGCUUACCAAGGCUUUGACGGGUAGCCGGCCUGGGAGGGGGACCGGCCACAAUGGGACUGAGAUACGGCCCAGACUCCUACGGGAGGCAGCAGUGGGGAGUAUUGCGCAGUGGGCGGAAGCGUGAUGCGACAACGCCGCGUGCGGGAUGACGGCCUUCGGGUUGUAAACCGCUUUCGCCUGUGACGAAGCGUGAGUGACGGUAAUGAGUAAAGAAGCACCGGCUAACUACGUG
RNAcentral lists this ribosomal RNA (468 nucleotides) under uncultured bacterium. RNAcentral's name for it is "partial 16S ribosomal RNA". It matches the Rfam family "Bacterial small subunit ribosomal RNA", at positions 28 to 507 of the family's 1533-position model. The record is from RNAcentral.